UUUGACUGCCAUAGCGUUGUGGUACCACCUGAUCCCAUGCCGAACUCAGAAGUGAAACGCACCCGCGCCGAUGAUAGUGUGGCAGCUGCCAUGUGAAAGUAGGUCACAGUCAAAC
This 115-nucleotide ribosomal RNA is filed under the name Zobellella iuensis. RNAcentral also lists the same sequence under 1 other name. Lineage: Bacteria; Pseudomonadati; Pseudomonadota; Gammaproteobacteria; Aeromonadales; Aeromonadaceae. The record is from RNAcentral.